Non-coding RNA from Mycena filopes, 92 nucleotides. NCBI's taxonomy places the organism in Eukaryota, Fungi, Basidiomycota, Agaricomycetes, Agaricales, Mycenaceae. The record is from the annotation of a GenBank genome assembly.
GGCUCGGAAGUGGAUGGCCCACACCUGCAUUCUAUUAGAGUGAAUACUGAGGUUAGAAGCAGGAGCUGCCUGUUCGAAUCAGGCCCGAGCCA